UCCAUGUUAUCAGAGCUGCACUCUAUUU
RNAcentral lists this small RNA (28 nucleotides) under Bombyx mori (domestic silkworm). Its description in RNAcentral is "piRNA piR-bmo-1665698". The record is from RNAcentral. Lineage: Eukaryota; Metazoa; Arthropoda; Insecta; Lepidoptera; Bombycidae.